UAACACGUAGGUAACCUGCCCAUGUGCCCGGGAUAACUUCUGGAAACGGAUGCUAAAACCGGAUAGGUAGCAGACAAGCAUUUGACUGCUAUUAAAGUGGCCUUGGCCAUGAACAUGGAUGGACCUGCGGUGCAUUAGCUAGUUGGUGAGGUAACGACCCACCAAGGCGACGAUGCAUAGCCGGCCUGAGAGGGCGGACGGCCACAUUGGGACUGAGACACGGCCCAAACUCCUACGGGAGGCAGCAGUAGGGAAUUUUCGUCAAUGGGGGGAACCCUGAACGAGCAAUGCCGCGUGAGUGAGGAAGGUCUUCGGAUCGUAAAGCUCUGUUGUAAGAGAAAGACGGCACUCAUAGGGAAUGAUGAGUGAGUGAUGGUAUCUUACCAGAAAGUCACGGCUAACUACGUGCCAGCAGCCGCGGUAAUACGUAGGUGGCGAGCGUUAUCCGGAAUGAUUGGGCGUAAAGGGUGCGUAGGUGGCAGAUCAAGUCUGGAGUAAAAGGUAUGGGCUCAACCCGUACUGGCUCUGGAAACUGAUCAGCUAGAGAACAGAAGAGGACGGCGGAACUCCAUGUGUAGCGGUAAAAUGCGUAGAUAUAUGGAAGAACACCGGUGGCGAAGGCGGCCGUCUGGUCUGGAUUCUGACACUGAAGCACGAAAGCGUGGGGAGCAAAUAGGAUUAGAUACCCUAGUAGUCCACGCCGUAAACGAUGAGAACUAGGUG
RNAcentral lists this ribosomal RNA (723 nucleotides) under uncultured bacterium. RNAcentral's name for it is "bacterial SSU rRNA". It matches the Rfam family "Bacterial small subunit ribosomal RNA", at positions 111 to 822 of the family's 1533-position model. The record is from RNAcentral.